RNAcentral lists this ribosomal RNA (497 nucleotides) under uncultured bacterium. RNAcentral describes it as "partial 16S ribosomal RNA". It matches the Rfam family "Bacterial small subunit ribosomal RNA", at positions 28 to 507 of the family's 1533-position model. The record is from RNAcentral.
GAUGAACGCUGGCGGCGUGCCUAAUACAUGCAAGUCGAGCGAACAGACGAGGAGCUUGCUCCUCUGACGUUAGCGGCGGACGGGUGAGUAACACGUGGAUAACCUACCUAUAAGACUGGGAUAACUUCGGGAAACCGGAGCUAAUACCGGAUAAUAUAUUGAACCGCAUGGUUCAAUAGUGAAAGACGGUUUUGCUGUCACUUAUAGAUGGAUCCGCGCCGCAUUAGCUAGUUGGUAAGGUAACGGCUUACCAAGGCGACGAUGCGUAGCCGACCUGAGAGCGUGAUCGGCCACACUGGAACUGAGACAGGGUCCAGACUCCUACGGGAGGCAGCAGUAGGGAAUCUUCCGCAAUGGGCGAAAGCCUGACGGAGCAACGCCGCGUGAGUGAUGAAGGUCUUAGGAUCGUAAAACUCUGUUAUUAGGGAAGAACAAAUGUGUAAGUAACUAUGCACGUCUUGACGGUACCUAAUCAGAAAGCCACGGCUAACUACGUG